This is a long non-coding RNA of Oncorhynchus tshawytscha (Chinook salmon), 610 nucleotides long. NCBI's taxonomy places the organism in Eukaryota, Metazoa, Chordata, Actinopteri, Salmoniformes, Salmonidae. The record is from Ensembl.
CAGUGAUUGAGUGGAGAGAGGAGGCUUUCAACGAACGAUAUAUCAUGAAGAGAUAUGUGAAAAACACCUUGAGGAUUGAUUCUAAACAACGUUUACCAUGUUUCAGUCGAUAUUAUGGAGUUAAUUUGGAAAAAUUUCGGCGUUUUGAAGACUGAAUUUUCGUUUUUUUUUGGUAGCCAAACCUGACGCACCAAACGGAGCAAUUUCUCCUAAACAAAUAAUCUUUCAGGAAAAACUGAGCAUUUGCCAACUAACUGAGAGUCUCCUCAUUGAAAACAUCUGAAGUUCUUCAAAGGAAAAACUGAGCAUUUGCUAUCUAACUGAGAGUCUCCUCAUUGAAAACAUCUGAAGUUCUUCAAAGGGGGGUGUUCCCUUACAAGGAAGAGGGGAAACAGUCGUGGCCAUGGUGGAAAAAGUUGAGGCCUUUACUAGGAAGCUUGAGUUGUUUGAUUUGGACUUGUCAUCUGAAAGGCUACUGGAUUUCAACACACUGAAGAAACGACAAGCAGAGGGACCAGGCCACAGCAUUGUCAUAGAAGUGAUAUAAUAUUUCAUCAAGCAGCUAAGGGACAAUUUCUUCACCAGAUUUGAAGUCUGCAGUCUACCCAGG